GUAGCAAGAGGAAAAGAAAACGAAGUGAUUCCCUUAGUAGCGGCGAGCGAACUGGGAAGAGGCCAAACUAGAAUUUAUUCUAGGGUUGUAGGACAUUAAUAUGGACUUAAGAUUAAUAGCAGAAGUUGUUGGGAAGCAACGCCAUAGAAGGUGAUAGCCCCGUAUGCGAAAUUAGUUUUAUACCUAAAUGUAUCCUGAGUAGGGCGGGGCACGUGGAAUCCUGUCUGAAUCUGCCCAGACCAUUGGGUAAGCCUAAAUACUAACCAUUCUCCGAUAGUGGACCAGUACCGUGAGGGAAAGAUGAAAAGAACCCAGAGAUGGGAGUGAAAUAGACCAUGAAACCAUUAACUUACAAAGAGUCAGAGCCCGUUUAUGGGUGAUGGCGUGCGUUUUGAAGUAUGAGCCGGCGAGUUAUUGUAGCAUGCAAGGUUAAACUGUAGAAGUGGAGCCGUAGCGAAAGCGAAUCUGAACAGGGUGUUUAGUAUGUUGCAAUAGACCCGAAACGGAGUGAUCUAGCCAUGAACAGGUUGAAGUUUGGGUAAUACCAAAUGGAGGACCGAACCGACUUUCGUUGAAAUGACAGCGGAUGAUUUGUGGCUAGGGGUGAAAUUCCAAUCGAACUCCGUGAUAGCUGGUUCUCGUCGAAAUAGUUCUAGGACUAGCGUUAGAUUAUUGGUUUGUUGGGGGUAAAGCUCUGAAUUCAUGAUGGCGCGGCCUUCGUGUACUGAAUGAAAUUAAACUAUGAAUACCAACAAGCCUACUCUAGCAGUCAGACAGUGGGGGAUAAGCUUCAUUGUCACAAGGGAAAGAGCCCAGACCGUCGAAUAAGGUCCCGAAGUUAAACUAAGUGGAGAAGGAUGUUAAAACACUAAAACAGCUAGAAUGUUGGCUUAGAAGCAGCCAUCGUUUAAAGAGUGCGUAACAGCUCACUAGUCUAGUGUUUUUGCGCCGAAGGUGUAACGGGGCUAAGUUUAACACCGAAUUCGCGGGUUAUGUAUUUAAAAGUACAUAGCGGUAGACGAGUGUUGUAUACUGGAUGAAGCAUGAGUGUGAACACAUGUGGACGGUAUACAAGUAAGAAUGCCGGCGUGAGUAACGUAUGAAAGUGAAAAUCUUUCAAGCCGUAUUGACCAAGGUUUCCUGGGGCAGGGUCGUCCGCCCAGGGUGAGUCGGAACCUAAGAUGAGGCUGAAAAGCGUAGUCGAUGGACAAUGAGUUAAAAUUCUUAUACUAACAUAUUUGGCAAUGGAGUGACAGAAGAGGUUAGCACAAGCAGAUUAUUGGAUUUCUGUUUAAAUAUUUAGUGCAUAAAGUAGGCAAAUCCGCUUUAUUUCUUUUAAGAAAAGCAUGAUGUAUGAAUAGGAGCGAACACUAUUAGUAAGUAGCGAAGUUGUGUGACACCAUAUUCUCAAGAAAAGCUUCUAGUAUUAAACAAUUAUGUUAUCCGUACCAAGAACGAACACACGUGGUCAAGGAGAAUAUCCUAAGGCUAUCGAGUUAAUUACAGCUAAGGAACUCUGCAAAUUGAUCCCGUAAGUUAGCGAUAAGGGAUGCCUGCUAUUGUAGGUCACAGUAAAGAGCGAGGGGGGACUGUUUAUCAAAAACACAGCUUUAUGCUAAGGCGCAAGCCGAUGUAUAUGAGGUGACACCUGCCCAGUGCCAGAAGGUCAAUGAAGGGGGUUAGCAGCAAUGCGAAGCUCUUAACUUAAGCCCUGGUGAACGGCGGCCGUAACUAUAACGGUCCUAAGGUAGCGAAAUGCCUUGUCGGGUAAAUUCCGUCCCGCUUGAAUGGUGUAACCAUCUCUUGACUGUCUCGGCUGUAAGCUCGGUGAAAUCCUGGUGAGAGUGAAGACACUCUCUAGCCACUACGGGACGGAAAGACCCCAUGAAGCUUUACUGUAGCUUAAUAUUGAAAACGUCCAAUGGAUGUAGAGAAUAAGUGGGAGACUGUGAGACGAGUUCGCUAGAAUUCGUGGAGUCGAUCGUGGAAUACCACUCUUCUUUUGUAUUUUUUCUAACCUAUGCUGGUAAUCACGGCAAGAGAAAGUGUUAGGUGGGCAGUUUGACUGGGGCGGUCGCCUCCCAAAAGGUAACGGAGGCGCGCAAAGGUACCUUCAACACGGUUGGAAAUCGUGUUCUGAGCGUAAUGGUAUAAGGGUGCUUGACUGCGAGACUUACACGUCGAGCAGGUAGGAAACUAGGUCAUAGUGAUCCGGUGGUUCAGAAUGGAAUGGCCAUCGCUCAACGGAUAAAAGCUACUCUGGGGAUAACAGGCUGAUAGUGUCCAAGAGUUCACAUCGACGACACUGUUUGGCACCUCGAUGUCGACUCAUCUCAUCCUGGAGCUGAAGCAGGUUCCAAGGGUUCGGCUGUUCGCCGAUUAAAGAGAUACGUGAGUUGGGUUCAAACCGUCGUGAGACAGGUUGGUCCCUAUCUAUAGUGGCUGUAGGAAGAUUGCGAAGAUUUGACCUUAGUACGAGAGGACCGGGUUGAACAUACCUCUAGUGUACCAGUUGUCACGCCCGUGGCACGGCUGGGUAGUUAUGUAUGGCAUAGAUAAACGCUG
RNAcentral lists this ribosomal RNA (2565 nucleotides) under [Mycoplasma] cavipharyngis. RNAcentral describes it as "bacterial LSU rRNA". It matches the Rfam family "Bacterial large subunit ribosomal RNA", at positions 206 to 2773 of the family's 2925-position model. Lineage: Bacteria; Bacillati; Mycoplasmatota; Mycoplasmoidales; Mycoplasmoidaceae. The record is from RNAcentral.